CCUACGGGUGGCAGCAGUGAGGAAUAUUGGUCAAUGGGCGAGAGCCUGAACCAGCCAAGUCGCGUGAGGGAGUACUGCCCUAUGGGUUGUAAACCUCUUUUGUCGGGGAGCAAAAGCCGGACGUGUCCGGCUGUGAGAGUACCCGAAGAAAAAGCAUCGGCUAACUCCGUGCCAGCAGCCGCGGUAAUACGGAGGAUGCGAGCGUUAUCCGGAUUUAUUGGGUUUAAAGGGGGCGCAGGCGGAUUUUUAAGUCAGCGGUAAAAUCGUGGGGCUCAACCCCAUCCAGCCGUUGAAACUGGGGAUCUAGAGUGUGCGAGAGGUAUGCGGAAUGCGUGGUGUAGCGGUGAAAUGCAUAGAUAUCACGCAGAACCCCGAUUGCGAAGGCAGCAUACCGGUGCACAACUGACGCUCAGGCACGAAAGCGUGGGUAUCGAACAGGAUUAGAUACCCCUGUAGUC
RNAcentral lists this ribosomal RNA (458 nucleotides) under uncultured bacterium. RNAcentral's name for it is "partial 16S ribosomal RNA". It matches the Rfam family "Bacterial small subunit ribosomal RNA", at positions 338 to 795 of the family's 1533-position model. The record is from RNAcentral.